Molecule: ribosomal RNA, 185 nt
Filed under: uncultured bacterium
Lineage: Bacteria
Description: partial 16S ribosomal RNA
Rfam family: Bacterial small subunit ribosomal RNA
Source: RNAcentral
UAGGGAAUUUUCGUCAAUGGGCGCAAGCCUGAACGAGCAAUGCCGCGUGAACGAGGAAGGUCUUCGGAUCGUAAAGUUCUGUUGAAGGGGAAAAAGAGCGGAGAGAGGAAAUGGUCUCCGAUUGAUAUUACCCUUCGAGGAAGUCACGGCUAACUACGUGCCAGCAGCCGUGGUAAUCUGACUCU